This 253-nucleotide ribosomal RNA is filed under the name uncultured bacterium. RNAcentral describes it as "partial 16S ribosomal RNA". It matches the Rfam family "Bacterial small subunit ribosomal RNA", at positions 524 to 776 of the family's 1533-position model. The record is from RNAcentral.
UACGUAGGGGGCAAGCGUUGUCCGGAAUCAUUGGGUCGUAAAGCGCGUGUAGGCGGCUCGAUAAGUCUGCUGUGAAAGUCCAGGCUCAACCCUGGGAUGCCGGUGGAUACUGUCGAGCUCGAGUCCGGAAGAGGCGAGUGGAAUUCCUGGUGUAGCGGUGAAAUGCGCAGAUAUCAGGAGGAACACCAAUGGCGAAGGCAGCUCGCUGGGACGUGACUGACGCUGAGACGCGAAAGCGUGGGGAGCAAACAGG